UUCCAGGUAUGGGAAUCGAACCCACAGUGUUCCGCUUACCGGGAAGAUGCCAUGUCCACUAGGCUACCCUGGA
Molecule: transfer RNA, 73 nt
Filed under: Cordylochernes scorpioides
Lineage: Eukaryota; Metazoa; Arthropoda; Arachnida; Pseudoscorpiones; Chernetidae
Description: tRNA-Thr
Source: RNAcentral